AAUGGAAUAGCUGGGUCAAAUGGUGGUUUCAUUCCAAGUUUUCCAAGGAAUCUCCAUAUUUCUUUCCAUAUUGGUUGUACCAAUUUUCAGUCCCACCAGCAAU
RNAcentral lists this microRNA precursor (103 nucleotides) under Marmota monax (woodchuck). Lineage: Eukaryota; Metazoa; Chordata; Mammalia; Rodentia; Sciuridae. The record is from RNAcentral.